RNAcentral lists this ribosomal RNA (253 nucleotides) under uncultured bacterium. RNAcentral describes it as "partial 16S ribosomal RNA". It matches the Rfam family "Bacterial small subunit ribosomal RNA", at positions 524 to 776 of the family's 1533-position model. The record is from RNAcentral.
UACGUAGGGUGCAAGCGUUGUCCGGAAUUAUUGGGCGUAAAGAGCUCGUAGGCGGUCUGUCGCGUCGGAUGUGAAAAUCCAGGGCUUAACCCUGGACCUGCAUUCGAUACGGGCAGACUAGAGUUCGGUAGGGGAGACUGGAAUUCCUGGUGUAGCGGUGAAAUGCGCAGAUAUCAGGAGGAACACCGGUGGCGAAGGCGGGUCUCUGGGCCGAUACUGACGCUGAGGAGCGAAAGCGUGGGGAGCAGACAGG